GAUGAAGAACGUAGCGAAAUGCGAUAAGUAAUGUGAAUUGCAGAAUCCAGUGAAUCAUCGAAUCUUUGAACGCACAUUGCGCCCGCCAGCAUUCUGGCGGGCAUGCCUGUUCGAGCGUCAUUUCAACCCUCGACCUCCCCUUGGGGAGGUCGGCGUUGGGGACCGGCAGCACACCGCCGGCCCUGAAAUGGAGUGGCGGCCCGUCUGCGGCGACCUCUGCGUAGUAAUACAGCUCGCACCGGAACCCCGACGCGGCCACGCCGUAAAACACCCUACUUCUGAACGUUGACCUCGAAUCAGGUAGGACUACCCGCUGAACUUAAGCAUAUCAAUAAGCGGAGGA
This 343-nucleotide unclassified non-coding RNA is filed under the name soil metagenome. RNAcentral describes it as "partial contains 5.8S ribosomal RNA, internal transcribed spacer 2, and large subunit ribosomal RNA". The stretch from base 1 to 120 matches the Rfam family "5.8S ribosomal RNA", at positions 35 to 154 of the family's 154-position model. The record is from RNAcentral.